UGGAAAAGGAUGUGGGAUUUCAAAGACAACUAGGAUGUUGGCUUAGAAGCAGCCACUCAUUAAAAGAGUGCGUAAUAGCUCACUAGUCGAGAGAUCCUGCGCCGAAGAUGUUCGGGGCUCAAACUUACCACCGAAGCUACGGGCUUACAGUAAUGUAAGCGGUAGAGGAGCGUCGUAAACGGGCAGAAGUCGUACCGAAAGGAGCGGUGGACUGUUUACGAGUGAGAAUGUUGGCAUUAGUAGCGAGAUGUGAGUGAGAAUCUCACAGGCCGAAAACCUAAGGUUUCCUCAGGAAGGCUCGUCCGCUGAGGGUUAGUCGGGACCUAAGCCGAGGCCGAAAGGCGUAGGUGAUGGACAAUAGGUUGAUAUUCCUAUACCACUACCAUCGUUAUUACCGAUGGCGUGACGCAGGAGGAUAGUGUGUGCUAGCUAUUGGAUGCUAGUCUAAGCACUUAGGGAGUUAAGACAGGAAAAUCCGUUUUAACAAUUCUGAGGUGUGAUGGGGAAGUCCAUUUAUGGAUGAAGUACAUGAUUCCACGCUGCCAAGAAAAGCGUCUAGGGAGAAAAGUAGUGCCCGUACCGCAAACCGACACAGGUAGGUGAGGAGAGAAUCCUAAGGCCGGCGGAAGAAUUGCAGUUAAGGAACUCGGCAAAUUGACCCCGUAACUUCGGGAGAAGGGGUGCCUACGAGAGUAGGUCGCAGAGAAUAGGCCCAAGCAACUGUUUAGCAAAAACACAGGUCUCUGCUAAAGCGAAAGCUGAAGUAUAGGGGCUGACGCCUGCCCGGUGCUGGAAGGUUAAGGGGAAUACUUAGCGCAAGCGAAGGUAUGAACUUAAGCCCCAGUAAACGGCGGCCGUAACUAUAACGGUCCUAAGGUAGCGAAAUUCCUUGUCGGGUAAGUUCCGACCCGCACGAAUGGCGUAAUGAUUUGAGCACUGUCUCGACAACAAAUCCGGCGAAAUUGUAGUGCAAGUGAAGAUGCUUGCUACCCGCGAUUGGACGGAAAGACCCCGUAGAGCUUUACUGUAGCUUAGCAUUGAGUUUCGGUAUUGUCUGUACAGGAUAGGUGGGAGACUUGGAAACAGGGGCGUUAGCCUCUGCGGAGUCAUCCUUGGGAUACCACCCUGACAGUACUGAGAUUCUAACCGGCGGCCAUGAAUCUGGUCACGGGACAUUGUUAGGUGGGCAGUUUGACUGGGGCGGUCGCCUCCAAAAAAGUAACGGAGGCGCCCAAAGGUUCCCUCAGUACGGUCGGAAAUCGUUCGAAGAGUGCAAAGGCAGAAGGGAGCCUGACUGCGACACAUACAGGUGGAGCAGGGACGAAAGUCGGGCUUAGUGAUCCGGUGGUACCUCGUGGGAGGGCCAUCGCUCAACGGAUAAAAGCUACCUCGGGGAUAACAGGCUGAUCUCCCCCAAGAGUCCACAUCGACGGGGAGGUUUGGCACCUCGAUGUCGGCUCGUCGCAUCCUGGGGCUGAAGUAGGUCCCAAGGGUUGGGCUGUUCGCCCAUUAAAGCGGCACGCGAGCUGGGUUCAGAACGUCGUGAGACAGUUCGGUCCCUAUCCGUCGCGGGCGUAGGAAAUUUGAGAGGAGCUGUCCUUAGUACGAGAGGACCGGGAUGGACUGACCUCUGGUGUACCAGUUGUUCCGCCAGGAGCAUGGCUGGGUAGCUAUGUCGGGAAGGGAUAAACGCUGAAAGCAUCUAAGCGUGAAGCCCACCUCAAGAUUAGAUUUCCCAUAGCGUAAGCUAGUAAGACCCCUUGAAGAACACAAGGUUGAUAGGCUAGAGGUGUAAGUGUAGUAAUACAUUCAGCUGACUAGUACUAAUAGGUCGAGGGCUUGAUCU
This 1846-nucleotide ribosomal RNA is filed under the name fermentation metagenome. Its description in RNAcentral is "bacterial LSU rRNA". It matches the Rfam family "Bacterial large subunit ribosomal RNA", at positions 1064 to 2925 of the family's 2925-position model. The record is from RNAcentral.